This 231-nucleotide ribosomal RNA is filed under the name uncultured bacterium. RNAcentral describes it as "partial 16S ribosomal RNA". It matches the Rfam family "Bacterial small subunit ribosomal RNA", at positions 118 to 349 of the family's 1533-position model. The record is from RNAcentral.
UGGGUAACCUGCCCCUGGCUCUGGGAUAACUCCGGGAAACCGGGGCUAAUACCGGAUAUUCACUUUCUCCGGCAUCGGGGUUUGUGGAAAGUUUUUCGGCGAGGGAUGGACCCGCGGCCUAUCAGCUUGUUGGUGGGGUGAUGGCCUACCAAGGCGACGACGGGUAGCCGGCCUGAGAGGGCGACCGGCCACACUGGGACUGAGACACGGCCCAGACUCCUACGGGAGGCG